Molecule: unclassified non-coding RNA, 251 nt
Filed under: plant metagenome
Description: partial contains small subunit ribosomal RNA, internal transcribed spacer 1, and 5.8S ribosomal RNA
Rfam family: Eukaryotic small subunit ribosomal RNA (bases 1-52)
Source: RNAcentral
GGAAGUAAAAGUCAACAGGGUUUCCGUAGGUGAACCUGCGGAAGGAUCAUUAAAGAGAUCAUGCCCUCACGGGUAGACCUCCCACCCUUUGUUUACAAUACCUUUGUUGCUUUGGCGGGCCCGUUUGGCCCCGCGCUGAACAACCGGCCCCGGCUGGUCAGUGCCCGCCAGAGAACCGAAAACUCUGAAUAAAAUGUCGUCUGAGUACUAUGUAAUAGUUAAAACUUUCAACAACGGAUCUCUUGGUUCUG